AAGGCUUAAGAGGAGGGGUGAGAAAAAGUCGCAUAAAAGGCGAGAGAAAAGUUGACAGGGAUCAGUCGAGCGAGUAUCUUCGACAAGGGAACAGCUGUAGUGUACUAUUUGCCGUCAGCUGCAUUCUUCAUCGUACUAUCAGUUCUCAAUCAUGGUCGUACAUAAUGGCAAGGAUUAGGCGAAAGAAAUCAGUCGAGUGAACAUCUCCGGCACGGUAACAGCAACUGCAGUGCACCAUUUGUCACCAACUGCAUUCUUCGUCGAAUUGCUAGUCAAAUCAUGGCAAACUAUGGCGUCGUGCUGCAGUUGUGUGUUGCAUCGUUGAUGGCUGGAUCGGCCACUGGUGUACCGAUGUCUCCUGGGUAUGGCGGCUAACAAAUCGAAACGCCGCCACCUUACUACACAAGAUACGGCUCGACCAGUUGCUACACCGAGGCCCCCAAGUACUGCACCAAGGCUCCAGAUUAUUAUCCUACUACUUAUGCUGCCCUGAGCUACUACACCGAAUCCCCACAGUAUUAUUCUUCCCCGAGCUACAAUACCAAAGGGUCGAUUACUACACCGAUGCUCCGAAGUACUACACCACCAAGACACCGGAGUACUGCACAACUACAUACAAUGAGAAAAGGCGAAAGAAAACCGUCGAGUGGUCAUCUCCGACACGGCAACAGUAACUGCAGUGCCAAGGCUCAGUAUUACACCACAAAUUAUGUUGCCCCGAGACUCUACCCCAAAGCGCCUGAGUGCUAUACCGAGGGCACUAAUUUCUACACCACCAAGGCACCGGAGUACUACACUGCAACAUACCCUGCUCCAGAUUAUUACAACGAGGCUCCCCAACACUACACCACCAAGGCACUGGAGUACUACACCACUACAUAUCAUGUAGAGGAAAGGUGAAAGAAUUCAGCAGCCGAGUGAGCAUCUCCGUUACAGCAACAGGAACUACCGUGCAGUAUUUGAUCAACUUCAUCCUUCUUCGCAUUACAAGUUUUAAAUAAAGUAAACUAUGGCGUCGUGCUGCUGUUGGGCGUUAUAUCGUUGAUGGAUGGAUCGACCACUGGUGUGCUGAUUUCUCCUGGGUAUGGCGGGCGUGAAUAAUCCGUAGCAACCGGUUACUACACUGGGGCCCCCAAAUACUACACCACCAAGGCUCCAGAGUAUUACACCACAACUUAUGCUGCCCCAAUGUUACUACGCAGAUGCUCCGAAGUAUUUUUCUUCCUCGAGCUUCACUACCUUCACCACGCCGCUUACUAAUUAACAACGUCAACACCUACUUACUAUACGAAGGUCUCCAGUACUACGCCACAAAAGCUCCUGACUACUACACCGAGGACCUAACUUGUCACACCACUGAAGCGCCCAAGUAUUGCACUACAACCUACGUUUCUCCAGCUUACACCACGAUGGCAGCGGAGUACUACACCACGAUGGCAGCGGAGUACUACACCACGAUGGCAGCGGAGUACUACACCACGAUGGCAGCGGAGUACUACACCACGAUGGCAGCGUGGUGAUGAGUCAGAGUGGUGAUGAUUCUUCAGUAUCCUGCGCUGUGACAUGUCUGUUUCAUAUUUUGGAGGUGACUAUUGCCUUAGUCGAUCUGCAUACGGACAUGUUCUUGUGUUUUGACGAUGUUACAAGGGUAGGUUACGAAAGGAAGUUGUAACUGUUGAUUUGGGUAAGUCUUAUAAGUAAAAGGCAAGUGGAUGAAUUUUGUAUAAAUGAAAGAAUUUGAAGUUGAGAAAAAUAUAUUGGAACAAUUCCUAAA
This is a long non-coding RNA of Daphnia pulex (common water flea), 1774 nucleotides long. RefSeq lists it as uncharacterized. NCBI's taxonomy places the organism in Eukaryota, Metazoa, Arthropoda, Branchiopoda, Diplostraca, Daphniidae. The transcript is spliced from 7 exons. The record is from RefSeq and is a predicted model, not a curated record.